RNAcentral lists this ribosomal RNA (301 nucleotides) under uncultured bacterium. RNAcentral's name for it is "partial 16S ribosomal RNA". It matches the Rfam family "Bacterial small subunit ribosomal RNA", at positions 509 to 807 of the family's 1533-position model. The record is from RNAcentral.
CAGUCGCCGCGGUAAAACGUAGGGUCCGAGCGUUGUCCGGAAUUAUUGGGCGUAAAGAGCUCGUAGGCGGUCUGUCGCGUCUGCCGUGAAAUCCUCAGGCUCAACCUGAGGCGUGCGGUGGGUACGGGCAGGCUAGAGUGCGGUAGGGGAGAAUGGAACUCCUGGUGUAGCGGUGGAAUGCGCAGAUAUCAGGAAGAACACCGAUGGCGAAGGCAGUUCUCUGGGCCGUAACUGACGCUGAGGAGCGAAAGCGUGGGGAGCGAACAGGAUUAGAUACCCCAGUAGUCCCUGUCUCUUAUAC